This 399-nucleotide ribosomal RNA is filed under the name uncultured bacterium. RNAcentral describes it as "bacterial SSU rRNA". It matches the Rfam family "Bacterial small subunit ribosomal RNA", at positions 30 to 429 of the family's 1533-position model. The record is from RNAcentral.
AUUGAACGCUGGCGGCAUGCCUUACACAUGCAAGUCGAACGGCAGCACGGGAGCUUGCUCCUGGUGGCGAGUGGCGAACGGGUGAGUAAUACAUCGGAACGUACCCUGAAGUGGGGGAUAACGUAGCGAAAGUUACGCUAAUACCGCAUAUUCUGUGAGCAGGAAAGAGGGGGAUCGCAAGACCUCUUGCUUUAGGAGCGGCCGAUGUCGGAUUAGCUAGUUGGUGAGGUAAAGGCUCACCAAGGCGACGAUCCGUAGCGGGUCUGAGAGGAUAAUCCGCCACACUGGGACUGAGACACGGCCCAGACUCCUACGGGAGGCAGCAGUGGGGAAUUUUGGACAAUGGGCGCAAGCCUGAUCCAGCCAUGCCGCGUGAGUGAAGAAGGCCUCGGUUGUAAA